This 468-nucleotide ribosomal RNA is filed under the name uncultured bacterium. RNAcentral describes it as "bacterial SSU rRNA". It matches the Rfam family "Bacterial small subunit ribosomal RNA", at positions 329 to 793 of the family's 1533-position model. The record is from RNAcentral.
UUCCAGACUCCUACGGGAGGCAGCAGUGAGGAAUAUUGGUCAAUGGGCGGGAGCCUGAACCAGCCAAGUCGCGUGAGGGAAGACGGUCCUAUGGAUUGUAAACCUCUUUAGGCGGGGAGCAAUGCCGGGCACGCGUGCCCGGAGGGAGAGUACCCGCAGAAUAAGCAUCGGCUAACUCCGUGCCAGCAGCCGCGGUAAUACGGAGGAUGCGAGCGUUAUCGGGAUUUAUUGGGUUUAAAGGGUGCGCAGGCGGGGGCGGCAGGUCAGGGGUAAAAGUGCGGGGCUCAACCUCGCCGAGCCGUUGAAACUGCUCUUCUAGAGUGGGCGAGAAGUAUGCGGAAUGCGUGGUGUAGCGGUGAAAUGCAUAGAUAUCACGCAGAACUCCGAUUGCGAAGGCAGCGCACCGGCGCCCUACUGACGCUCAGGCACGAAAGCGUGGGUAUCGAACAGGAUUAGAUACCCGCGUAA